RNAcentral lists this long non-coding RNA (7094 nucleotides) under Zea mays. RNAcentral's name for it is "long non-coding RNA (ZMAY_LNC000942)". The record is from RNAcentral. Lineage: Eukaryota; Viridiplantae; Streptophyta; Magnoliopsida; Poales; Poaceae.
CUUAGGCAGCAGCAGCCGAGCUCCCUUCUCGUAGUGCCCCUCGCAUUCCUGUUCUCAGCCCGCUCUCCUCUCUGCUCGGUCUCCCCAGUACUUGCCUCACCUGGACACGUCGUUCUGUUGUUACCACUUGCCAGUCACGAUCUCUUCCUUCCUGGAGUUUGCGUGUUGGGAGUCCGUGGAUCAUGGCUGAAACUGCACGCGUUCUCGUCUCCUUCUCUGGCACAUCAUUGUGUGGAGCUGCUGAACGCCACUAUCUCUAGCUCCUGUAUCGUCGUGCCGGCGCUCAGCUCCCCAACUUCGCUGUUGCCUACUGGACCUGCUGCUCUCUCUGCAACAGCUCGUCGGCUCCCUAGAAAUUCCCCAGCCGUCGCCUGCCUUCUCGCGGACGUUCUCCCUCGUCGCGUCCGCAGCGCUACCGCGACUUCAACAUCGCCUAGGUGCCCCCUACUUGGUUUCAGGCCAUUGCACCAAACGCGCAUCUCCAAAGUGCCAUCGAGUUUCAUCUCACCUCACGGUGGCCAGGGAUCUUCCAAGGUUUCCUCGACCGUGUGGCGCUCGUUUUGUGCUCACGUAAGGUCAGUGAAGCUCAUCAACUUGGAAUUUUUAACUCUACUAUUUUGUGCUGACCAGAACAGAACUCCGCCGCCGUGGUUUGGCGCCGUGAAUUACCCCUGCGUCGACCCGUUAACUCGCGCCAUUUCCGGUCGAGUUCACACGCGCACUAUAGGUUUGUGAGAUCACUGAAGCUCUCUGGUAAAUGUGUUUUUGGGAUCCUUAGUGCAGUUUACAAAUUUUAAGUAAUUUAAGUGUGUUCUAAAAAGGAUUAAUUGAAUAUUUAGGGAGCAAAUGUGAGCACCAAAAAUUGUGAGAACUUUUGAGAGUCUUGUUAUCAGAAGAUAAACUCUUGGUAAAAGUUUGUGGCUGUUUGUAAGCCAUUUGCUCUGAAAUCCUUGUAGAGUCCCUAAUUGGAAUAAUAAGAAGAACAUAAUCACAUGUGGAUUAGAACUUUGGAAGAAGGAACAAGUUUAACAAGUGAAACCUGAUCUUUGGAUAAAGAAGUAAGAGUGCAUAGUGGGAUCUGGAUUUUUGGCGUAGUUUGAAGAUUGUUCUAAUCCUCUAGAAGUUCAAGUUGUAGGAUUCAAGUCAGAGAAGUAAGUCCUUACUUAAGGCAAGCAUAGAGUUCUUGGUUAUGGAGGCAGAGUUCCCUGGUGUGGUCUGAGAGCUUAGUGAUGAUAUUAGAAUGUUUAGCUCCCCUAUUGUUUGGUUAGUUUUGUGUGCACCUUUAGUAAGGUGUAGUUUGUACUGCUUUAAAGUAUUUUUGUAGUUGCAUAAGUAUAUGCAUUCAUGUUCAUAUCAUUUCAUGUAGAGCUCCCAGCAGAAGGAGUGUAAAUUCAAGAUGAAGUGGUUGUGGAAGAGGAGUUUGCUCCAGUGCCUAUUCAUCAAGUGGAUGGAGCUAUCUAACUGGUUAUUGGGUAGAAGAUCUAGAACCUCUUCUCUGCAACAAAGGCAAGCCCCGGUGCAUUUGCCACCUCCCUUGUGUUUACAAAAUUUUAUCACUUAUAUGUUGCAUUAGGUAAUAGGAGUUGAUUGAUUAAACACUUGAUGCAUUACCAUCCUUGAAAGAUUGAUUAUCAUACCUUGUCACCUGUUUUAUAAAAGCUAGAGAUGCUUAGUCAUGCUGAUAGACUAAGAAAAAUGUUUUUGAUCUAUGACUCAUGUUUUUUUACAAACAAGAAAAUGGGCUUGGGAUAAUGAAGGCAUCAAGACGUUGAUAAAUUCAUUAUCCAAGCAUGGCCCCUCUGUCAGGCGCCAAAAUUUUGAAAUAGUUUAAAAUGGGACCAGACGCUGAGCAGGAAAGGUCGCCCGUCUGUGUCGAUUAAGGACCGUACCGAUUGUUGGCCUGAUGAUCUAGGACCUUUUAACUGGCCACAUACCUCGUCAUGGGUAAGCCUGAACCCGUCUAUUCCAUACGUGAAAAGACAACCGCGCACUGGGCGUGGGAGAUGGUGGGAGUAGCAGUUACCCUCCUGGCAAGAGGCUGAAUGGUAGGGUAAUGUGCUCCCGGGUAGCGCGGAUCGGUUCAUGUAGUGGAGGAUCCGUGGGAAUGGUUGACAUAUGCAAGGGUUAAGUGCUACAUACGUCGUGUGGUUGGAGAUCCCCAGCUGGGUAUUAAUCGAUUCGGAUCGCCGUUACUUCUCGGAUAUGAAGACUGGAUCGCUGCCCUUCAUCGUAGAUAACAAGCGAAACAAAAUUUGGAUUUUAAAAGAAAGUUAGUAUAGGACAAGUGAAUGAUCUAGAUUAGGAAAUUGUUAGAUUCAGGCUAGAAGAUUCAGGUAAUAAACUAACUUGUGAAAUAAAACUUGGCUUAAGGACCCAUUUCUAGUAAGCUUUUCUGCAAAGUGAGUCCUUGAACUUUGAUGAGCUUUACCUUGAUUCCCAAAAGCCAGCAUACCCUUGAGAGUCUUUUCUUUAGUCGGGUAAGUCUUGCUGAGUAAUUGCAUACUCAGGGUUUUAUCCCUUGUUGUUUUUGUAGGAGAAGUUUUAUUCCCUUAUCUUUGGGUUAGUUACUUCAUGUGGAGGACUUGAAGCUUAGAAGGUUUUUAUAUAUCUCUUAUGGAAAGGCUUCACCCUUCCAAUUAUUGUAGUUAAGUUAUGCCCUUCGAGUACUAUCAGGACUUGUAAUAAAUACAUCUCUUUCUACCAUGUAAAACUUGAGUUCUGGAAUGUAAAGUGUACUUUGUAAAAGUCUUCCGCUCUAUCUCCAAUGUGUGUGUAUUAAAUGUGAUUACUGUAAUAUACCUGUUAUGUGGGAGAUCCUUGGGAUGAUGAGUUCCAGUUGGCGAACUCGAUAGCCUUGUUAAGUUAUCCGGUACACGUGUACAGCCAUCUUAGGCCAUUAAGGCAAGGAUUGGUGCAUGUGGGCCUGAUAACUUGGGAGGGCUGUCACAGCGUGGUAUCGGAGCGAUCCCCCAUUAUCAUGGAUAUUAAAGUAAUCCUUUGAUAGGCUUCAAAAGGAUUUUGAGUCCAAAGUAUUUUGAAAAAAAAAACUUAAGAAUGAAUAAGCAAGUCCUAAUAGUCGAAGUGCAAAUAGUAUAUGGUUAAGUUAAGGACUAUAAGGUGGCUUAGUUUAAGAUGCUAACCACUAACCCACAACUAUAAUGCAAUUUUCUGCAGGUACACUAACUAAACCCUAGGAAAGUGCGACUAGUGUUCAAUAACGGAGUGAGUAGGUAUGCCACCGUCAUAGAACGUGAUAACUACUAUAUGUUGGCAAGAGUUGCAAGGACGAAUAGGACGAGCAUGCAUCAUGACAUACAAUUUUAAGUUAAACCCCCUAUGUAAUAGCUUAGUACAUGUUUCAUCCAUCCUACUCAUGCUACCUAUCUUUGAUUUUUUUAUACUAAGUUUUCCUACUUGAAACUCAUUUCAUUUGAUUGAAAUGUAGUUUAUAAGGUACAGUUGCUAAAGGAUCUUUCCAUAGUGCACAACAUGUUUCACAUAUCUCAGUUGAAGAAAUGUCUUCGGGUUCCCAAACUGGGUGUUGAGAUUUCAGAUGUUAACCUUGGACCAGAUUUAACCAACUUGGAAUAUUCCAUAAAGGUUUUGGAUCAAAAGGAUCGGUCACUUGAAGAAAACUUAUCAAGUUUGCAGGAUGCAGUGGAACUAACACCCGGAAGAUAAAACCACAUGGGAAUUAGAGGAGUAUUUAGAUGUGAACCAGGAAGGGUACACCCCUGUCUUGUAGGGGUAAUGGGGAAAUAAGUCAGUGACACAUUUCCUUUUCCAUUACCUAGCCUAGAGUUUUAAAUCUCGGGACGAGAUUUCUUUUUAGGGGGGAAGACUGUAACACCCCUGGUGUUACGUUAACUAAAACUCUGACAUGUCAUCAUAAGCAUUUGCAUUAUCUGGUUUGAUAUACCUAGAAUGCAUUCAAUAGGUCAAACUUUUUCAAAAGUGUGAUGUUGUGUGUUGGGUUUAGAGUUUAGUUUAAGGACUAGGCCUAAGCUAGACAAGAGUAGGUCAUCUCUUGAGCAAGUAACAAAUGAACUUGGAGUCUUUGAGUGCUAAAGGCAAGUCUUAGAGUCUAUAGCAACUUUGUUUUCAAAGAUAGAUCAAGUGGAAGAAAUACUUGGACCGAAGGAUUAACUUCAAAACCCUAAGGCUUGAAUACAUUGUUUGAAAUUGAGUGUAAGCAAACAACUCUUAAACCAAGGACACUUUUGACAUGAGUUCUAUAUGCCAAGGUCGGAUUUGAGACUAAGGAGUUAUUUCUCUUAGGUGGACGAAUCACUGAAAGAAAUAAUAGCCACAUUUGAAGCCCUAAAACUAGCCCAAGAGUGGAAUUCAAAAUCUAGUGACGAUUGGCUAAAAGUCCAUAUAUUAAAGUUGUAGUACAUGGGAAAUAAAACAACUUUCUUAUUUGGAGAUUCCCAUGUUGUGUGAAGAAAAUUGGAGUAAAUCACAAAAGUUCAGUUUUGAGCUCAAAUUGGAAUUUGCUGAAAAUAGUAGCAACUAGGCAAUUUUGGUCCUUUAUAACUUCUGAUCUAUAAACAUUUUGAAGAUAGUCAUUAUAACAAAGUUAUAGAGCUACAUGAGGAGUAUAAGUUUGGUUAAGUCAUAUAGCUCUAAAACUAUUUGGAACUUGGAGUAAAACUGGUCCAAAAUAGAGCUGUCACAGAUUGUCAAAUUCAGACUUGGAGUAAAUUCAGAUUCUGAAUUUCUGUGUUCGAUGCAAACGUUGGGCUAGUGUGGUUUGGAAUCCAGGAGGUUUUGGUUAAUGACCACUAUACAAAACUUGUAAAUCCAUGAUAGUAUAACAAUUCUUAUUAAGUGAUAUAGUCCCAAAACUAUAUUUACUGGUAGAAAAGAUAGUCCAAAUGUUGAUUGACAGAUUUUUCCAGUUUUCAGACUUAAAACAGUAGUCUGAACCUGAGUUUCAGUAUUUUGAGCUGUUUUUGGAGAUCAAUUGUGCCUAAUCCAUGAGGUUUUGGGCUGUAGAAUAUAUAGAGUAAUUAAAUACCAUAUGAUGGUGAAUAAGUCUCCUUAAGUGACUUUGGUUUGAUCCUACACAAAAGUUGGAGAGAAAGCUUGCUCAAAGUUGGACUGACAGAUAGUGCUUUAACUGCAUUUGGUUCAGUUCUGAAAUCUUAAAUUUGUUGUAUGGUGCCAAGUUUGGAGCCCUUUUGUGGCUGUUUUGUAAGGUUUUAUACUAUGGUGCUUGUAGAGGAAUUAAAUACCAUAUAUUGGUGAACAACUUCCUUAAAGGGUGAUGGACAUGACCCCAUACAAGAAUUGGAGUAAGAACUGCUUAAAUUGGGACUGUGUUGUGGCUGAAACUGAAUUAUAUUCAGUUAUUGAAAACUGAAUUUCAGUGAAAGUUGCUGAGUUUGGAGCCCAUUUGCAGCUGAUUCAUGCAGUUAUAGGCUAAGAAAGCUAUACAAAGGUGGAUGAUCAUGUGUUGGUGUAUACGUUUGGUUAAGGAUUAUACCCCUAAAGCUACUUGGAACUAGGAGAAAAGGUUGCCUAAAUAUGGACUGUCAGGUUACUUGGACUGAGUUUUUGUUCAGAACUAAAAUCUGAAUUUUAGUGAAUAGUGCUCAGUUUAGAGCUCUGUUGUGAUUAAUCUAUGUGGUUUUAGACUGUAUUUUCUAUAUCAAAGUUGAAUAUCAUCUAAUAGUGAACAAGUUUCUUUAAGCCAGUGUGACGUGGUGCUGCACAAAAGUUGGAGUAAAAUGUGCCGAAAUUCUCUCUGUCAGACAUGUGUGUUCAGUCUCUUAUUCAGUUAGCUGCAGCUGGUUCCUAGUGUAUUCACCUCACUCUGGAGCGUUAUAACUUUUGAUCUAUGAAUCUUUGACCUAAGGUUCCUGAAGUAAACUUGUAAAGUUACAUUUUGUGAACAAACUUUAUUAACCAAGGUUGACAUGUAUUGCUUGGAAUCAUGAGGAUCGAAGGGGUUACAAAUGAGGGUUCAGUUUGGUGCCAAAUUCAGUUCAGAUUCUGAAACGUAUUCAGUUUUGCUGAAUUUUUAGAAACCAUGUAUUCCUUUCAGUGUUGGACCCUUCUAACUCUUAAUUCUUGGUGAAUGACCAUUACAUCAAACUUGGAGAUCUAUUAUGGAGGAAUACUUCUUAUGAUGAAGGAUCUCCCUGUUCUUAUUUUAGAUUAGAAGAAAACUUUGCUCCAAGUCGAGCUGUUGGGCUGGUGGUGGACUGAAUAUUGUUCAGCUGACUGAAACCGGUUCAAUUUUAGUGAGAAAAAGAUCUCCAUGCCACUGAUGUUUAUCCUGUACAUGUGCUCAGUUCUCUAAAUUUUUCUCCUUUGUUCCACUCGUUCUUAUCCAAUAUCUAGUACACGUACUCCCUGGAAGUCUCUCCGUGCGUUGUCUCAUCUCCAGAAAUCCACGUGCAGCCCUGAGCAGUGAGCACUAGCUUCUCCACGUCAUAUAUCCCCUCACCCCAUCGCUUAGGCAGCAGCAGCCGAGCUCCCUUCUCGUAGUGCCCCUCGCAUUCCUGUUCUCAGCCCGCUCUCCUCUCUGCUCGGUCUCCCCAGUACUUGCCUCACCUGGACACGUCGUUCUGUUGUUACCACUUGCCAGUCACGAUCUCUUCCUUCCUGGAGUUUGCGUGUUGGGAGUCCGUGGAUCAUGGCUGAAACUGCACGCGUUCUCGUCUCCUUCUCUGGCACAUCAUUGUGUGGAGCUGCUGAACGCCACUGUCUCUAGCUCCUGUAUCGUCGUGCCGGCGCUCGGCUCCCCAACUUCGCUGUUGCCUACUGGACCUGCUGCUCUCUCUGCAACAGCUCGUCGGCUCCCUAGAAAUUCCCCAGCCGUCGCCUGCCUUCUCGCGGACGUUCUCCCUCGUCGCGUCCGCAGCGCUACCGCGACUUCAACAUCGCCCAGGUGCCCCCUACUCGGUUUCAGGCCAUUGCACCAAACGCGCAUCUCCAAAGUGCCAUCGAGUUUCAUCUCACCUCACGGUGGCCAGGGAUCUUCCAAGGUUUCCUCGACCGUGUGGCGCUCGUUUUGUGCUCACGUAAGGUCAGUGAAGCUCAUCAACUUGGAAUUUUUAACUCUACUAUUUUGUGCUGACCAGAAC